GAUUGAACGCUGGCGGCAUGCCUUACACAUGCAAGUCGAACGGUAACGGGCCUUCGGGUGCCGACGAGUGGCGAACGGGUGCGUAAUACAUCGGAACGUGCCCGAUCGUGGGGGAUAACGAGGCGAAGGCUUUGCUAAUACCGCAUACGAUCUACGGAUGAAAGCAGGGGACCGCAAGGCCUUGCGCGGACGGAGCGGCCGAUGGCAGAUUAGGUAGUUGGUGGGAUAAAAGCUUACCAAGCCGACGAUCUGUAGCUGGUCUGAGAGGAUGAUCAGCCACACUGGGACUGAGACACGGCCCAGACUCCUACGGGAGGCAGCAGUGGGGAAUUUUGGACAAUGGGCGCAAGCCUGAUCCAGCCAUGCCGCGUGCAGGAUGAAGGCCUUCGGGUUGUAAACUGCUUUUGUACGGAACGAAAAGCCUUCUUUUAAUACAGGAGGGUCAUGACGGUACCGUAAGAAUAAGCACCGGCUAACUACGUG
This 483-nucleotide ribosomal RNA is filed under the name uncultured bacterium. RNAcentral's name for it is "partial 16S ribosomal RNA". It matches the Rfam family "Bacterial small subunit ribosomal RNA", at positions 27 to 507 of the family's 1533-position model. The record is from RNAcentral.